UAUAGAUUUUUCAUCCAACAUAAUGAAAAUAACAAUGGGCACUAUGACACACACCUAUAAUACCAUGGACUCAAGAGGCUGAGGCAGGAGUAUGACAAGUCCAAGCCCAUCCCAGCAACCUGGUGAAAUCCAAUUUCAAAAUAAAAAAGAAAAAUGGAUCAUGUGUCCCAACAGGCUGACUUCUAAGGACUGCAUCUUUAGGUUUCUUUGAUGGACUAGAUUUGCCCACUGGGCAGCAAAGACAGGAGGCUGAGGAAUUACAGAAGAGAAAAUAUGGUAUGGUCGGCAGAAUAAUGUCCUCCCAUAGAUGUCAAUGUCCCAGUCCUCAGAAGCUGUAAAUAUGCUUUCUUACAUGGUGAAAGGGUCUUCACAGGUAUGAUGAGUUAAGGAUCUUUUGAUGGGGAGAUUAUCCUGGAUUAUCUGGGUAGGUCCAAUGUAAUCAGAAGUAUCCUGAUAAAAGGAAGGCAAGAAGGUCAGAGUCAGCAAUUAUAAAAUGCUGACCUUGAAGGCAGAAGAAGAAACCUUGAGUCAAAGAACAGAGAGGACUUCUAGAAACUGGAAAAAGCAUGGGAACAGAUGCUCCCCAGGACUUCCAGGAGGAACACAGACCUAUUGACACCUUGAAAUUCACCCAGUGAAAUCCAUUUUGGACCUUUGAACUUCAGAACUAUUUCUUGAUAAGUUUUAAGUUUCUGGUAAUUUGUUAUAGAAACAUAGAAAAACGUACAUGUAAAAUUUCUCCUCCUCCUGC
Molecule: non-coding RNA, 751 nt
Organism: Ictidomys tridecemlineatus (thirteen-lined ground squirrel)
Lineage: Eukaryota; Metazoa; Chordata; Mammalia; Rodentia; Sciuridae
Source: RefSeq, a predicted model, not a curated record